AUGCCUCCGGCUCCUCUGCCGCCCUCCCAGCUCCUGGAGCUUGGACAGAAGCGAGAAGUCAGUAACUGCCUUUUACGUCCGGAGGGUUGUGCCUUUUUUUUUUUUUUUUUUUUUUUUUUUUUUUUUUUUUUUUGUGGGGGAGGGGAAGCAUCAUUUCCGACAGCACCGUUCACUUCCGGGGAAAAAGCAGCCCUUAAAAAACGCGACCGUGCUUGUUCACUCUCGGAAAGGAACAGCCCCGUUUGGAAAGUCUGUGGGAAAAAAAAAAAAAAAAAAAAGAGAGAGAAAAAGAAAAAAAAAAAAGCCACACCCCCUUCUUUUCACCCUCAGUAUUCUCCAGCCAACGCACGCACCGACGGUCAACGCCACCGACUUCAUUUCGUUCGGGCAAAGAAACCAGGAAAGCACCUUAACUCGGGAACGGGCGGAGUUUGGCCGCAGCGGCCAUCCCGUGGGGAGAGAUUCUGGAUUAUUCCCGUGGGGAGAGAUUCUGGAUUAUUCAUUUCCCUGGAGAGAGAUUCUGGAUUAUUCCGAGCAAUAAGAGCCCCCCCUCCGUGGGAAUCUAGGGAAGACUGGAAGUAUUAAGCACGCGUGACUCGACCUGCCAAACCGCGGGAACCUGCACUUUUCAGUUCGCUUUAGAGGAACCGACUUGAUUCGAUGAUUUCUUGGGACGGGGAUCAAGUGAUUCGGGGUCGAUUGGGUGAUUGCUGGCCUGGGACGGGCACCGCACAUGGCUCGGGGGUCGCCGGGGCUGUGCCAAGGUCCCCAAGCCCCGCUGGGCCACCCGCAGCUCCGAGCUCGCAGGGAGAGGGCGAGCGAUAAAAAACCUGGGCAGAAAUGCCCGAAAAAGGGAGAUUUCUGCUCUCCCCUGCAGCCAGCGGGAGCUCCGAGCCCCUGAGCGGCUCCGGGCUCCGUGCUCGGUGUUUCGGAGCCGUUCCCAUCCCAGCGUGGGAUGUUCCUUUCCAACAGCCCCGCGCAGCCUCGGCCGCCAGCGAUGGCUCCUGUCCAGACCAAGACUAAUUUAGUGUUUGUUUGUCUGCUCUGGCAGUUUAGCUGAGUGUCCAUUUCCACCUACAGAACCCUCACACUGUGUAUAAAGAUGGAUCAAAAAUAUAUAUAAUAUAUAUUCUUGUGAAUGUUGGUGCAAAAGAGAAAAAAUAUAUAAAGUUUCAGUCGGUUUUAUGUUAUUUUUUAUCUCUAUGAAUGAAAGGAAGAAAUGGAAAACCUUUUAUUUCCAUUUACCGCCCUCCACACACACCUACCUGUAGAUACCAACAGGUUUUAUGGAAAUGUUUUACUUUUUAGAUUUAGGAAAAUGCUUCUGUUCUCAUUGAAUGUUCUGUCUUGUAAGAUUGUAAUUUCUAUUUUUUUAAAGAAAAAAAAAUAACUAAAUAAAAUUUCCUCUUUCGGACCAGUCAGCUUAGGAAGGGAGGGCAGGGGAGGGAGAAAUGUUUAUUUAAGGACAAAACUGUUGUCAGAAUUUGUUCAUAACAUUAAAUAAAAGU
RNAcentral lists this long non-coding RNA (1508 nucleotides) under Malurus cyaneus samueli. RNAcentral's name for it is "lncRNA (ENSMCSG00000009479.1)". Lineage: Eukaryota; Metazoa; Chordata; Aves; Passeriformes; Maluridae. The record is from RNAcentral.